GACGAACGCUGGCGGCGUGCCUAAUACAUGCAAGUCGAACGCUUCUUUCCUCCCGAGUGCUUGCACUCAAUUGGAAAGCGGAGUGGCGGACGGGUGAGUAACACGUGGGUAACCUACCCAUCAGAGGGGGAUAACACUUGGAAACAGGUGCUAAUACCGCAUAACAGUUUAUGCCGCAUGGCAUAAGAGUGAAAGGCGCUUUCGGGUGUCGCUGAUGGAUGGACCCGCGGUGCAUUAGCUAGUUGGUGAGGUAACGGCUCACCAAGGCCACGAUGCAUAGCCGACGUGAGAGGGUGAUCGGCCACACUGGGACUGAGACACGGCCCAGACUCCUACGGGAGGCAGCAGUAGGGAAUCUUCGGCAAUGGACGAAAGUCUGACCGAGCAACGCCGCGUGAGUGAAGAAGGUUUUCGGAUCGUAAAACUCUGUUGUUAGAGAAGAACAAGGACGUUAGUAACUGAACGUCCCCUGACGGUAUCUAACCAGAAAGCCACGGCUAACUACGUG
RNAcentral lists this ribosomal RNA (508 nucleotides) under uncultured bacterium. RNAcentral's name for it is "partial 16S ribosomal RNA". It matches the Rfam family "Bacterial small subunit ribosomal RNA", at positions 28 to 507 of the family's 1533-position model. The record is from RNAcentral.